AGACCUACUGCAGCCACGCGGGCGAGCGGCUGUGUGGAUGUCGGCGAAGCCGCGGGCGAGGUACGGAACGGACGGACUGGUGUAAGAGCGUCGCGGCUCUCAGCUACGGGAGCGGGGCGGCCGGGCGUCUCGGGCCGUGGGCGGCGGGGCGGUCGGUCCGUGCCCUCCGCGCGGCUGGGGCAGUUGCGCGUCGGUGCCUCCCGCUGUCCUUCGUCCCACAUUCCAGCCCCGUCAGCUCCGCCUUCCCAGUUCCAGGCCGCCCUCGGCUCCCUUAAUCCUCACAGUGCGCGGCUUCUCCGUCUAACGUGCUCGUUGCCGGCAUCUCCAGCGCCCGGACAAGCCCUUGAAGGCCUGACGCGGAGCAUUUCCCGGCCGCCUCCCUCUUCGGCGGCUCCCCUCGUCCCGGCUCUCACUUCCCCGUCCAGGACGCUGGCUCCGAAGCAACAUUUGUGGUCGCGCGGGGCCCCUCCCAUGACCUCUCUGGAACGCGCCUAGCUGGGACGCUCGGACCCAGACCACAGCUCUUGGCCGCGACAGGGGCGCCGGGACUUGAUCCCCCGUCGCCCUGGGGGGACAGAAGCGUCCCGGAGUUGGGAGGGGAUUUGAAGCCUGUGGUCCUGACUUCCACCCCGUGGCUGAGGGCGAGGCUGCAGGGCUGGGGUUAGGAGCAGAAGUCCCUACUUCCGAACCGUCUGGGAGGAGAGCCGAGAGAUGUCCAUCACGGCAGUUUAGGGAGAGAGAGGGAGGGACUCUGCCGCUUUGGAGGCUAGGUCAUAGGCAGCUGGCGGUGUCUCAGCGCGGGUGACCAGUCCUUGCGGUUGGGAAAUGUGUCGUGGGCGCCCGUGGACUCGUUUUGCCUUUGAGAUUAAAUAGGAAAUUUUCCCAGGACGAGUUUACCGGAGCACCUUGGGAGUUGGUUUUUGGCUUGGAGAGCUACUUUCCCCCCCUAAACCUAGAACUGCUUUGUUUUUCUUUAUUAUAUUUUUUGAGAUGGGAUCUCACAAUGUUACCCAUGCAGGUGUCAAACUCCUGGCCUUAAGCGAUCCUCCCGCCUCGGCCUCCCAGAGUGCUGGGAUUAUAGGCGUCAGCUAUCGCGCAGCUUUAACUGCUGUUAAAGAGUCCGUUCCUUAAAAUUGUUGUACCAAGAAACUUGCCAGAGAUGCAAGAAAAUGUGAUUAUAUUGUUAAUAUUUAAUGAUAAAUAACAUUUUGCUUUUAAGAGUUACUGAUUCAUAUCUGCAGGAUUAAGAAAUGUUCAGGAUUUGAAUUUUUAAUGACCUUCCAAGCAGUCAUGUUUCUACUCUCUAGAAGUUAGCCAGUUGAGGAGAAGGGACAGUCAAGAUACUUUCAAAACAGUGUGGUAAGGAGUGUGAGCUAAGAUGGAGCACCGAGGAGGGAGUCGGGCAUUUAGGCCGUGCUGUCGGGCGUGGAGCCUGGAAGGGAUCGGGGAAUACUUUCUGCAUGUGUCUUGAAGAAUGAGUAACAUUCAGACUAACAGGGUGGAAUGAGGGGAAUCAAAGGAGAGGAGGCCAGUAACUACAAGGAGGUGCUUAUUUAUUUAUUUAUUGAGAGAGAGGGUCUCACUUUGUCACCCAGGCUGGAGUACAGUGACACGAUCACGAGUCACUGAAGUCUCAACUGCCUGUGCUCAAGGGAUCCUCCCACCUCAGCCUCCCAAGUUGCUGAGACUGCAGAUGCGUGCCACCACACCCAGCUGAUUUUUAAAUAUUUUGUAAAGAUGGAGUCUUGGUGUGUUGCCCAGGCUGGUCUCAAACUCCUGGACUCAAGCAAUCCUCCCGCCUCAAGUCUCCCAAUGUGCUGAAAUUACAGGCAUCAGCUACUGAGCCUGGAGGGUCGUUAUUAAAGUGAAAAAGUGCAGGACAGAGAUCUAGAAGCUUAGGCUUUAAUCUGAUGGUGACAGAACCAGGGAAGGGUUUUUAGCUGGGUCCCUGUGUGGUUAAAAUGGGUCUCUCUGGCUGGGCGUGGUGGCUCAUGCCUGUAAUCCCAGCACUUUGGGAGGCCGAGGCGGUCGGAUCAUGUGGUCAGGAGUUUGAGACCAGCCUGAGCAACAUGGUGAAACCGUGUCUCUACUAAAAACAGAAAAAUUAGCCGGCUGUGAUGGCACCUGCUUGUAAUCCCAGUUACUCAGGAGGCUGAGGCAGGAGAAUUGCUUGAACCCGAGAGACAGAGGUUGUGGGGAGUCAAGAUCACGCCAUUGCACUCCAGCCUGGGCAACAAGAGUGAAACUGCAUCUCAAAAAAAAAAAAAAAAAAAAAGUAACCAAAUGAGACCAGGAGUGGCCACAUGUUAGGCACAAUAGGUUUUAAGCCAAGAAUGGUUAUGAGAGACAAGGGAAUUCUAUACUGAUAAAAAGUUUAAUCCAACAAGAAAAUAUAAUAAUUUAAAACAUAUGUGCCUAACAACAGAGCAUCAAAACAUAUGAAGUAAAAAAGGAUAGAAUUAAAGGGAGAAAUAGAGUUUCAGGAUGAUCAUUGGAGACCUCACUACCUCAAUGUUAAUAAUACAGAGACCAGAUCAAUAGGAAAGAGAGCACUUGAACAACAUGAUAAUCCAAUUAGAUCUAAUGGUCAUAUGCAGACACCAACCCAACAACAGCAAAAUACACAUUCUUUUCAAGAGCGUGUGGGAUAUUGUCCAGAGUAUACAGUGUAUUAGGCUGCAAAACAAAUAUUAAUGUUUUAAAAGUUUGAAAGUAUGCAAAAUACUAAGUAUUUUCUAAUCACGAUGGAAUGAAACUAGAAAUCAGUAACAAGGAAAACUUGAAAACUCACAAAUAUAUGGAAAAUAAACACACUCUUGAUCACUGGUUGGAGAUGAAAUCAUACAGGAAAUUAGAAAACACUUUGAGAUGAAUGAAAAUGAAAACACAACAUACCAGAACUUAUGGGAUGAAGUUAAAGCAGCGUUCAGAGGGAAAUGUUUAGCUGUAAGCAUCUACCUUUAAAAAUAAGAAAGCCAGCAGUGGUGGCUCAUGCCAACAUCCCAGUAUUUUGGGAGGCUGAAGCGGGAGGAUCCCCUGAGGUCAGGAGUUCAAGACCAGUCUAACCAACAUGGCAAAAGCCCAUCGCUACUAAAAAUACAAAAAUUAGCCAGGCAUGGUGAUGCAGGCCUGUAAUCCCAGCUACUUGGGAGGCUGGGGCAGGAGAAUCGCUUGAACCUGGGAGAGGGAGGUUGCAGUGAGCCGAGAUAGCACCACUGCAUUCCAGCCUGGGUGACAGAGUGAGACUCUAUCUCAAAAAAAAUCAAUAAAAAUAAAAAAUAAAAGUAAGAAAGAUCUCAAAUUAGUCACCUCACUAUACCCUCUAAAGGAUCUAGAAAAAGAAGAGCUAACCCCAACCUAGCAGAAUACCAGAAACAAAGAUUAGAGUGGAAAUAAAUAAAGGAAAUUAAGAGAAUAGAUAAAAUUAAAAGUUUUUUUUACAGUUCAGCAAAAUUGACAAAUUUUUAGCUAGAUUGACUAAGAAACACAAGAAGACUCAAAUAUCCAAAAUCAGAAAUGAAAAUGAGGCCGUUACUGUGACUUUACAACAAUUAAGGUUAUCGUAAGAGAAUACUAUAAACAUAUGUACACCAGCAAAUUGAAUAACCAAAUGAAAUGGCAAAUCUCUAGAAACACAAACCUACCAAGACUGAAUCACAAAGAAAUAAAAAAUAUGGGUAAACCAACCAGGUGCAGUGGCUCGUGCCUGUAAUCCCAGCACUUUGGGAGGCCAAGGUAGGCGGAUCACCUGAGAUCAGGAGUUCAAGACCAGCCUGGCCAACAUGGUGAAACCCCUUCUCUACUAAAAAUACAAAAAUGAGCUGGGUGUGGUGGCAGGCGCCUGUAAUCACAGCAACUCAGGAGGCUGAGGCAGGAGAAUCACUUGAACUGGGAGGCGGAAGUUGCAGUGAGCUGAGAUCGCACCAUUGUGCUCCAGCCUGGGGGACAAGAGUGAGACUUCGUCUCCAAAAAAAAAAAAAAAAAAGAAAAAGAAAAUAUGGGUAAACGUAUAACUAGUAAGAAGAUUAAAUUACCAAUAAAAUCUUCCCAACACAGAAAUACCCUUGACUGGAUGGCUCCACCAGUGAAUUCUACCAGACAUUUAAAGGAAAAAUUAGUGCCAAUCCUUUGCAAACUCUUUCAAAAACUUGAAGAGGAGGAAAUACUUUCUUUUUUUUGUUUGUUUUGAGACAGAGUCUCGCUCUGUCGCCCACGCUAGAGUGCAGUGGCGCGAUCUUGGCUCACUGCAAGCUCUGGCUCCCGGGUUCACGCCAUUCUCCUGCCUCAGCCUCCCGAGUAGCUGGGACUACAGGCGCCCACCACAACGCCCGGCUAAUUUUUUGUAUUUUUAGCGGAGACGGGGUUUCACUGUGUUAGCCAGGAUGAUCUCUAUCUCCUGACCUCAUGAUCCGCCUGCCUUGGCCUUCCAAAAUGCUGGGAUUACAGGCAUGAGCCACCCGGUGCCCGGCCGAGAAGGAAACACUAACUCAUUCUAUGAGGACAGCAUUGCCUUGUUACUAGGGCCAGACAAAGACAGUACAAGAAAACAACUGACCAAUAUUGCUUAUGAACAUUGAUUAAAAAAUUCUCAAGAAGACACUGCCUGCUGGGUGUGGUGGCUCACGCCUGUAAUCCCAGCACUUUGGGAGGCCAAGGUGGGUGGAUCACAAGGUCAGGAGUUUGAGACCAGCCUGGUCAAGAUGGUGAAACUCUGUCUCUACUAAAAAUAAAGAAAAUUAGCUAGGCAUGGUGGUGGGUGCCUGUAACCCCAGCUGCUUGGGAGGCUGUGGCAGGGGAAUCGCUUGAACACGGGAGGCGGAGGUGGCUGUGAGCCGACAUUGCGCCACUGCGCUCCAGCCUGGGCAACAGAGUGAGACUCCAUCUCAAAAAAAAAAAAAGAAAAAAGAAAAAAAAGAAAACACUGCCCAACUGGCUGGCCGCAGUGGCUCAGGCGGGUAAUCCCAGCACUUUGGGAGGCCAAGGCAGGUGGAUCACUUGAGUUCAAGAGUUCAAGACCAGCCUGGGGAACGUAGUGAAACCCCACCUCUACCUAAAAUACAAAAAUCAGCUGGUUGUGGUGUUACCCUCCUGUGGUUCCAGCUACUUGGGAGGCUGAGGUGGGAGGAUCACUGGAACCAGGAAGUUGAGGCUGCAGUGAGCCGAGAUUGCACCACUGCAUACCAGCCUGCACGACAGAGUGAGACUCCAUCUCAAAAAAAAUAAAUAAAUAAAAAUAAAAAAUAAAAGAAAGAUCUCAAAUCAGUCACCUAACUAUACACUUUAAAGGACCUACAAAAAGAAGAACUAAACCCAAGCUAGCAGAAUAGGGGAAACAAAGAUUAGAGUGGAAAUAAAUAAAGAAAAGGAAAAGAAGAGAAUAGAUAAAAUUAAAAGUUUUUUUACAGGUCAGCAAAAUUGACAAAUUUUUAGCUAGAUUGACUAAGAAAAAAAAAAAGAAGACUCAAAUAUCCAAAAUCAGAAAUGAAAAUGAGGGCAUUAAGCUGGGCACAGUGGCUCACGCCUGUAAUCCCAGCACUUUGGGAGGCCAAGGCCGGCGGAUCACGAGGUCAGGAGAUCGAGACCAUCCUGGCUAACACGGUGAAACCCCAUCUCUACUAAAAAUAGAAAAAAAUCAGCCGGGUGUGGUGGCGGGCGCCUGUAGUCCUAGCUACUCAGGAGGCUGAGGCAGGAGAAUGGUGUAAACCCGUGAGGCUGAGCUUGCAGUCAGCCAAGAUUGUGCCACUACACUCCAGCCUGGGUGACAAAGCGAGACUCCAUCUCAAAAAAAAAAAAAAGAAAGAAAAAAGAAAAUGAGCACAUUACUGUGAUUUUACAGCAAUUAAAGUGAUUAUAAGAUAAUACCACAAACAUAGGUACACCAGCAAAUUGAAUAACCAAAUGAAAUGGCAAAUCUCUAGAAACACAAAGCCUACCAAGACUGAAUCACAAACAAAGAAAAAAUAUGGGUAAACCAGCUGGGCAUGGUGGCUCCCGCCUGUAAUCCCAGCACUUUCGGAGUGCACUCCAUUGCACUCCAGCCUGGGGGACAAGAGCGAGACUUCUCAAAAAAAUAGAAAGUAGGGGUAAACCUAUAACUAGUAAGAACAUUAAAUUACUAAUUAAAAUCCUUUCAACAAAGAAAUACCCCUGACUGGAUGGUUUUACCAGUCAGUUCUACCAGACAUUUAACGAAAAUUAAUGCCAAUCCUUUGCAAACUCUUUCAAAAACUUGAAGAGGAGGAAAUACUUUCUAACUCAUUCUAUGAGGCCAGCAUUGCCUUGAUGCUAGGGUCAGACAAAGACACUACAAGAAAACAACUGACCAAUAUUGCUUAUGAACAUUGGUUAAAAAAUUCUUAGGAAAACAGUGCCAAACUGGUUGGGCACAGUGGCUCAUGCUGGUAAUCCCAGCACUUUGGGAGAUUAAGGCAGGUGGAUCACUUGAGCUCAAGUUCAAGACCAGCUGGGCGUGGUGGCCCAUGCCUGUAACCCCAGCACUUUGGGAGGCCAAGGCGGGUGGAUCAUGAGGUCAGGAGAUCGAGACCACAGUGAAACCCCGUCUCUACUAAAAAAUACAAAAAAAUUAGCCAGGCGCAGUGGCGGGCACCUGUAGUCCCAGCUACUCAGGAGGCUGAGGCAGGAGAAUGGCGUAAACCCAGGAGGCUGAGCUUGCAGUCAGCCGAGAUCGUGCCACUGCACUCCAGCCUGGGUGACAAAGUGAGACUCCAUCUCAAAAAAAAAAAAAAAAAAAUGAGGGCGUUACUGUGACUUUACAGCAAUUAAAGUGAUUAUAAGAUAAUACUAUAAACAUAGGUACACUAGCAAAUUGAAUAACCAAAUGAAAUGGCAAAUCUCUAGAAACACAAAGCCUACCAAGACUGAAUCACAAAUAAAGAAAAAAUAUCGGCAAACCAGCUGGGCAUGGUGGCUCCCAGCUGUAAUCCCAGCACUUUUGGAGUGCACUGCAUUGCACUCCAGCCUGGGGGCCAAGAGCGAGUCUUCUCAAAAAAAAAGAAAGUAGGGGUAAACCUAUAACUAGUAAGAACAUUAAAUUACUAAUUAAAAUCCUUUCAACAAAGAAAUACCCCUGACUGGAUGGUUUUACCAGUCAAUUCUACCAGACAUUUAACGAAAAUUAAUGCCAGUCCUUUGCAAACUCUUUCAAAAACUUGAAGAGGAGGAAAUACUUUCUAACUCAUUCUAUGAGGCCAGCAUUGCCUUGAUGCUAGGGCCAGACAAAGGCACUACAUGAAAACAACUGACCAAUAUUACUUAUGAACAUUGGUUAAAAAAUUCUUAAGAAAACACUGCCAAACUGACUGGGCACAGUGGCUCAUGCUGGUAAUCCCAGCACUUUGGGAGGUUAAGGCAGGUGGAUCACUUGAGCUCAAGUUCAAGACCAGCUGGGCGUGGUGGCCCACGCCUGUAAUCUCAGCACUUUGGGAGGCCGAGGCGGGUGGAUCACGAGGUCAGGAGAUUGAGACCACGGUGAAACCCCGUCUCUACUAAAAAGUAUAAAAAAAUUAGCCGGGCACGGUGGCAGACACCUGUAGUCCCAGCUACUCAGGAGGCUGAGGCAGGAGAAUGGCAUGAACCCGGGAGGGGCAGUUUGCAGUGAGCCAAGAUCGUACCACUGCACUCCUGCCUGGGUGACAGAGCGAGACUCCGUCUCAAAAAAAAAAAAAAAAAAUUGAGUUCAAGACCAGCCUGUGCAACAUAGCGAAACCCCAUCUCUACCUAAAAUACAAAAAUUAGCUGGGUGUGGUGUUACACACCUGUGGUUCCAGCUACUUGGGAGGCUGAGGUGAAAGGAUCUGGGAAGUUGAGGCUGCAGUGAGACUGGGGUGAUCAGGCUGGAUAAUCCUCUCUCCCUGUUCCCCUCAUUUGGCUGCUCCAGACCCUGAGAAACUUCUACCUGUCCCAUGCCAGCUGAGGGUGUCUGAGGAGCUGACAUCAACCCCAUGGAUCUCCUGAACUGUGCUGGAAGGUAGAGACAGGCAGGGAGGCUUCCCAAUGGGUCAGGAGAACCUGACCCCACAAAUCAACUGAUCUUCAAGAGACAGGAUGGAGGGAGGGAUCAUUCUAGAGAACCCUGCUCCUUGUUCCUCCCUGUGGCAAAAUCUGGCGCCAGGAAGAGUUUGAGUGUGUAGGCGUGUGUGUGCAGGUGUAAGUGUGCAGGCACGUGUGUGCAGGUGUGCGUGUGCAGGCAUGUGUGUGUAGGUGUGCAUCUGCAGGUGUGUAUGUACAGACGUGUGUACAGGCAUGUGUGUGCAGGUGUGCAUGUGCAAGGUGUGUGUUUGCAGGCAUGCAUGUGCAGGUGUGCGUGUGCAGGCAUGUGUGUGCAGGUGUGUAUGUUCAUAAUGGCCCUAACGCCCAAGCUGGAAAGUUGUGGAUUUACGGGAAUGAGGGCAAGAAACACCUGGCCCGCCCAGGGCGGAAAACCGCUUAAAGGCAUUCUUAAGCCACAAAUAAUAACAUGAGCGCUCUGUGUCUUAAGGGCGUGUUCCUGCUGCAGUUAACUAACCCAACCUAUUCCUUUAAUUCAGCCCAUCCCUUCGUUUCCCAUAAGGGAUACUUUUAGUUAGUUGAAUAUCUCUAGAAACAAUGCUAAUGACUGGUUUGCUGUUAAUAAAUAUGUGGGUAAAUCUCUGUUUGGGGCUCUCAGCUCUGAAGGCUGUGAGAUCCCUGAUUUCCCACUUCACGCCUCUAUAUUUUUGUGUGUGUGUCUUUAAUUCCUAUAGUGCCGCUGGGUUAGGGUCUCCCCAACCAUGCUGGUCUCAGCACUGGUCUCUACUGAAAAUACCAUAAUUGGCUGGGCGUGGUGGUGGGCGCCUGUAAUCCCAGCCACUUGGGAGGCUGAGGCAGG
This 8866-nucleotide long non-coding RNA is filed under the name Homo sapiens (human). Its description in RNAcentral is "HSALNT0341351". Lineage: Eukaryota; Metazoa; Chordata; Mammalia; Primates; Hominidae. The record is from RNAcentral.